RNAcentral lists this ribosomal RNA (253 nucleotides) under uncultured bacterium. Its description in RNAcentral is "partial 16S ribosomal RNA". It matches the Rfam family "Bacterial small subunit ribosomal RNA", at positions 524 to 776 of the family's 1533-position model. The record is from RNAcentral.
UACGUAGGGUGCGAGCGUUAAUCGGAAUUACUGGGCGUAAAGUGUGCGCAGGUGGCCGCGCAAGUCGCGUGUGAAAUCCCCGGGCUUAACUUGGGAAUUGCGCUCGAAACUACGUGGCUCGAGUGUGGCAGAGGAAGGUGGAAUUCCAGGUGUAGCGGUGAAAUGCGUAGAUAUCUGGAGGAACACCGGUGGCGAAGGCGGCAUCCUGGACCAACACUGACACUGAGGAGCGAAAGCCAGGGGAGCAAACGGG